GACGAACGCUGGCGGCAUGCCUUACACAUGCAAGUCGAACGGCAGCGCGGGGGCAACCCUGGCGGCGAGUGGCGAACGGGUGAGUAAUACAUCGGAACGUGUCCUUUUGUGGGGGAUAACCAGUCGAAAGAUUGGCUAAUACCGCAUGAGAUCGCAAGAUGAAAGCAGGGGACCUGCAAGGGCCUUGCGCGAGAGGAGCGGCCGAUGUCCGAUUAGCAGUUGGUGAGGUAACGGCUCACCAAGGCGACGAUCGGUAGCUGGUCUGAGAGGACGACCAGCCACACUGGGACUGAGACACGGCCCAGACUCCUACGGGAGGCAGCAGUGGGAAUUUUGGACAAUGGGGCAACCCUGAUCCAGCCAUGCCGCGUGUGUGAUGAAGGCCU
RNAcentral lists this ribosomal RNA (386 nucleotides) under uncultured bacterium. RNAcentral describes it as "bacterial SSU rRNA". It matches the Rfam family "Bacterial small subunit ribosomal RNA", at positions 28 to 417 of the family's 1533-position model. The record is from RNAcentral.